RNA transcript from Branchiostoma floridae (Florida lancelet), 1128 nucleotides. It is a transcript of the gene named macrophage migration inhibitory factor homolog, with no coding region annotated. The transcript has 5 exons. NCBI's taxonomy places the organism in Eukaryota, Metazoa, Chordata, Leptocardii, Amphioxiformes, Branchiostomatidae. The record is from RefSeq and is a predicted model, not a curated record.
GUGUCGAGUGCACGUCCAGAGCAUGGUACGGUCUGGUGCGUAUUUGUCUGUGAUGACGUCAGAAAGGUGGGUCAAAGGUGAGCGCCGGUUCAGUCCAGCCUGCUCGGCCAGUCUUCAACACAGCUGUAUCCUGCCUGUAGCAGAAAGUUUAAAAAAACAUGCCGCUGGCUCACAUCAAAACCAACCUGUCCCCGGACCAGUUCAGCGAUGACUUCAUGAAGGAGACGUCUCAGAUGAUCGCAGAGCUCCUCGAGAAGGAGGAAUGGAGGGUGACAGUUCACGUGGAUGCUGGGCAGAGGAUGCUGCGGGCGGGCUCCUUCGAACCCUACAUCCAGUUCGAGAUCGCAGCCAUCAAGUCCUUCGACGACGAGGCAGACAAGGAGAAGUACUCCAAGGCCUUCUUCGACUACCUGUCCGAGAAACUACCUGUCAAAUACGACAGAAUCGUGGUGAUUUUCCACCGGCUGGCGUCAGAGGAUGUCGGCAUAAAGGGAACCCUGAACUCCAUUCUGGUGAAAAAAUAGUGUUGCUGUGACAACAAUGUACAAGUCUGUCGGAUAUCAUACUUAUCGCUAUUGCUAGCUUAAUUCUGAAUAAAAAAUUCCGCUAAAUCAUUCCUAUUAGCUACAUUAUGUGGAUUGUCAUAUCCAUAUUCAUUAAACACAUAUCAUCAACAUUUUAAAGUUAUAAGAUCCUGAUAACUAGGGUGAUAGGACGUUCGAUGUAACAUGUUACAGCUUUGUCGCACAAAUUUUUUUACAAUGUAUCCGCGUGGCAGUUUCUAUAUUACCAGUCAUUUCCUCUCACGUGUUUACAAGGCCGGAGUGCUGUAUAGUUAUUGGGUGGUAAGACUUGUUCAUAUAUUACACAAAAAUGAUGCUACAGAUGUUACAGUUCAAAACAGGAAGGCAACACGAAGCGCUGCUUGUAAACUAGUGAAUGACAAUGGACGAUCAUACAUAUGAACUCAAGAUAACUUGAUAAACGUUUUAGAUUGAAGCCAAUAUUAAAAGUAUUUAAGGUACAGAUAGUUUGAAUUUAUAAUGAUGAAAAAUAUUAUAUUUCAUGUGAAGCUUGAUGCUAGUUUGUACUUGAAAAUCUUGAAAUUAAAGAAACUCAUGAUGACAA